ACGAACGCUGGCGGCGUGCUUAACACAUGCAAGUCGAGCGGUAAGGCCUUUCGGGGUCCACGAGCGGCGAACGGGUGAGUAACACGUGGGUGAUCUGCCCUGCGCUUCGGGAUAAGCCUGGGAAACUGGGUCUAAUACCGGAUAUGACCUCCUAUCGCAUGGUGGGUGGUGGAAAGAUUUAUCGGUGCAGGAUGGGCCCGCGGCCUAUCAGCUUGUUGGUGGGGUAAUGGCCUACCAAGGCGACGACGGGUAGCCGACCUGAGAGGGUGACCGGCCACACUGGGACUGAGACACGGCCCAGACUCCUACGGGAGGCAGCAGUGGGGAAUAUUGCACAAUGGGCGAAAGCCUGAUGCAGCGACGCCGCGUGAGGGAUGACGGCCUUCGGGUUGUAAACCUCUUUCAGCAGGGACGAAGCGCAAGUGACGGUACCUGCAGAAGAAGCACCGGCUAACUACGUG
RNAcentral lists this ribosomal RNA (461 nucleotides) under uncultured bacterium. RNAcentral's name for it is "partial 16S ribosomal RNA". It matches the Rfam family "Bacterial small subunit ribosomal RNA", at positions 29 to 507 of the family's 1533-position model. The record is from RNAcentral.